Long non-coding RNA from Acipenser ruthenus (sterlet), 405 nucleotides. RefSeq lists it as uncharacterized. The record is from RefSeq and is a predicted model, not a curated record. The transcript has 4 exons. NCBI's taxonomy places the organism in Eukaryota, Metazoa, Chordata, Actinopteri, Acipenseriformes, Acipenseridae.
GAAAUUUUAAAAAGGGAGAAAGAGAGACUGGGAAAAGAAAAGGAGGAUCUUCAGAAGAAUUAUGGCAAGAUUAAUCCAUUUAUCUCAAUAUUCUUUUUAUUAAACUAUUGUAUUGAAUUUCAUGAGUUCAUGAGCUGAAAUACAAACUACACUUUUCACUCUUUUCUGUUUUAGACAGUUUAAAAGGCGAGAAUGAGAGACAGAGAGAAGAAAAGGAGGAUCUUCAGAAGCAAAAUGGCAAGAUUAAUACAUUCAUCUCAAUAUUCUUUUUAUUAAACUACUUAAAUUAUUCUAUUUUUGAGCCAGAACACAAACUAAACUUUUCACUCUUUUCUGUUUUAGAUAUUUUAAGAAGAGAGAAAGAGAGACUGGUAAAAGAAAAUGAGGCUCUUCAGAAGAAUUAUG